Long non-coding RNA from Pyrus x bretschneideri (Chinese white pear), 1488 nucleotides. RefSeq lists it as uncharacterized. The transcript has 5 exons. The record is from RefSeq and is a predicted model, not a curated record. NCBI's taxonomy places the organism in Eukaryota, Viridiplantae, Streptophyta, Magnoliopsida, Rosales, Rosaceae.
GCUGGUGAAAUGUGUAGUAGUGAUUGUUUGGUAAAUUAACUUGUCAGAGAGAAAAUUAGGGUUGUAUAAACCCCUUCAUCUCGUCGGCCCUCCCUCUUAGCGUUUCUCGGACUGUCUUUAUCUCCUUCUCUUCUUCUAUAGCGUCGCCCACAACAACAAUCGUGCUAAGGGUUAGGGUUUCCAGUUCUUUACUCCGAUUCUUCCAACAAGCCUCUUUCCAAUUCUGUAAUUUUAUAGGGUUAGGGUUUUCGUUUCGGGCUUUCUCUCCGUGAGCGAUUUUCCCGACUCUUAGAAACUCCAUUUUGGCUAGUUGAAUUUCAUUAGGGAUUUGUUCCUCUCUCUGUUUCCAUCUUGUCUCUCUCCUUGGUUCUCUCAUGCCUGUUUCUAGCCAUUCUGAGCGGCCGUUGGAAGCCCGAAUCGAGGAGGCUGUAGUCGAUUUGUUUCUCUGAAGCUCGCCAAAACAGCUCAGGUUUCCCGCACAAGAUUGAUGGAGUAUUCUUGUGUGGCCAAGUAGCUCUGUAAACUUUCUGUGACCUGUUUUGUCAGACCACUUAAAGCAAUGCAUUGUUGGGAUUAUAGAUCGAGCAAGUCAUGUUCCCCCAUCCAACAUUUCAAGGGGUUUUGUAAUUGAAGUGAGUUGUCAACUUUUAGCUGCAAGCAAACUUUAGUGGCAAAGAUAUGAACGUUGCGCAAACAGAAGAUAGUUUUAUAAUGAAGCCUAUUGAUCAAAGAGAGCGCACCAGAAACCGUAAUGAUAUUCAGACAAGUCGCAUGAAGAACAGAGAACGACAGCGUAGGUAUAGGGCCCGUAAGCGUCUUGAAGCAGAUUUGAAGAAAUCUAGCAUCAUAAAGCAACCAACUACACCAGAAGUAGAAGUGCAACGAAAUGAGUUCAUUUACACACCCCGUGUGUACUGUAAACGAGAUUGGAAAAAGGAUGCAAGGAGUGCUCAUGCUUUUAAGGCCCCUGAAUUUACCCAUAAUGGUUAUGCCAUCCCUACUCUUACGUCAAUCAGUGAGGGUCAAAGCGUGUUUUUGUCUGGACCCAUGGCAGAGCUACAAUUAGAUAGUGAAUCCCGGUCUGAGAUGAUUGUGAACCAGAAUAACUGCGAAAUGCAUGUAUCUAACUUUGGUCGAAGAGAUUGGAAAGCUGAUGCAAGAAAGAAGAAAAUCUAAGGCAGAUGGCCGAGGAGUCCUAACUAUUCCAUUUGUAUGGUAUGGUACUUUAUGGGUUUCAUGUCUGAAUUUUCAAGUUAUGCUCUUACUGGUGUAUAAGGGACGAGGAAACAGGAAGCGCAGAGUCUAAGUUGAUUAUUGGGUUAAAUAUUCGGAAGCCUAGGAAUGACAGAAACAAUCUCGAACCUUGUUACCUAUUGAGUUAGAAAACCAGGUAAGUGGUCAAACUCAUUAUAAUGUAUGAUAACUGUUAAUGAAUCAUAUAGAGAAUUUGACCAGAUGUUUCAUCUGUGAGGAUUGAUGGGAUUUCAA